UGGGGAAUAUUGGGCAAUGGGCGCAAGCCUGACCCAGCAACGCCGCGUGAGGGAAGAAGGCUUUCGGGUUGUAAACCUCUGUCCUUGGUGACGAAAAAAAUGACGGUAGCCAAGGAGGAAGCCCCGGCUAACUACGUGCCAGCAGCCGCGGUAAUACGUAGGGGGCGAGCGUUGUCCGGAAUUACUGGGCGUAAAGGGUGCGUAGGUGGCCUUUUAAGUUGGAUGUGAAAUACCCGGGCUUAACCUGGGGGGUGCAUCUAAUACUGGGAGGCUAGAGUGCAGGAGAGGAAAGCGGAAUUCCUAGUGUAGCGGUGAAAUGCGUAGAUAUUAGGAGGAACACCAGUGGCGAAGGCGGCUUUCUGGACUGUAACUGACACUGAGGCACGAAAGCGUGGGGAGCAAACA
This 405-nucleotide ribosomal RNA is filed under the name uncultured bacterium. Its description in RNAcentral is "bacterial SSU rRNA". It matches the Rfam family "Bacterial small subunit ribosomal RNA", at positions 355 to 774 of the family's 1533-position model. The record is from RNAcentral.